UGCCCCGUGGUGUAACGGCAACACACCGGUCUUUGGAACCGGCUUUCCUGGUUCGAAUCCAGGCGGGGCAA
Molecule: transfer RNA, 71 nt
Filed under: Gemmatimonadota bacterium
Lineage: Bacteria; Pseudomonadati; Gemmatimonadota
Also listed under: 1 other name
Description: Gemmatimonadetes bacterium (soil metagenome) tRNA-Gln
Rfam family: tRNA
About the family: Transfer RNA (tRNA) molecules are approximately 80 nucleotides in length. Their secondary structure includes four short double-helical elements and three loops (D, anti-codon, and T loops).
Source: RNAcentral